RNAcentral lists this ribosomal RNA (358 nucleotides) under Charissa obscurata. Its description in RNAcentral is "partial 12S ribosomal RNA". The record is from RNAcentral. Lineage: Eukaryota; Metazoa; Arthropoda; Insecta; Lepidoptera; Geometridae.
UUAAAAUUUAAAUUAUAAAUACUAAAAUAGUAUAUAAUUAUUUAUUGAAACUUAAAUAUUUUGGCGGUAUUUUAGUUUAUUUAGAGGAAUCUGUUUGUUAAUUGAUAAUCCACGAAUAAAUUUACUUAAUUUUAUUAUUUUGUAUAUCGUUGUUAAAAAAAUAUUUUUUAAUAAUUAUAAUAUUUUAAAAUUAUGAGUAAAAAUUAAAUCAAAUCAAGAUGCAGAUUAUAAUUAAGAACAUAAUGGAUUACAAUAAAUUUAUUUAAAAUGAAUUUUAAUUUGUAAUAAUUAAAUGAAAGUGGAUUUAAAUGUAAUUUUAUUUAUUUUAAUAAAAUGAUUUAAAAAUAAAAUAUGUACA